This 253-nucleotide ribosomal RNA is filed under the name uncultured bacterium. RNAcentral describes it as "partial 16S ribosomal RNA". It matches the Rfam family "Bacterial small subunit ribosomal RNA", at positions 524 to 776 of the family's 1533-position model. The record is from RNAcentral.
GACGAACCGUGCGAACGUUGUUCGGAAUCACUGGGCUUAAAGGGCGCGUAGGCGGGCUGCCAAGUCUGGGGUGAAAUCCCACGGCUCAACCGUGGAACUGCCUCGGAUACUGGCGGCCUCGAGGGAGGUAGGGGCGUGCGGAACUGUGGGUGGAGCGGUGAAAUGCGUUGAUAUCGCGAGGAACACCUGCGGCGAAGGCGGGUUGCUGGGCUGAUACUGACGCUGAUGCGCGAAAGCGUGGGGAGCAAACAGG